Pocillopora damicornis (cauliflower coral) is the source of this 341-nucleotide long non-coding RNA. The record is from RefSeq and is a predicted model, not a curated record. NCBI's taxonomy places the organism in Eukaryota, Metazoa, Cnidaria, Anthozoa, Scleractinia, Pocilloporidae.
AUCAUUAUGACUGUUUCGUUUAAUAAAUAGGCGUUGCCUCGUGUUGACAGAUUUAUUCGAUGACAAGAAUCGUGAUUGACAUUAAUUCAAUAGAUUGAUUUAAAAGCGUUAGAUUAUUAUGUUUAAGUCAGUUUUUCAGCAGAAUCAAAGUGAGAAAGAAGUUAUUUUGUUAUCGUUUUUCUGUCUCUAAAUCCGCUUACCUGGAGAAUUUGCUAACCCGUAAAGUGAGGCUGUUGUAACGACCCGCCACAGAAAUCGAAUAAUUAUUAAAGCUUGGCUUAAUAUUAUACGGUUUGUGGUGGUCAUUUGAUCUAACCAGUUCCGAGUAAGGAAACAAUGAC